GUGAGUUUACACGACUCAGUAAUGCACUACAACAUGUUAUUGUUAAUUGGGAUUUAUCAUUACUCUGUUAAUCACUGAGUUGAUCAAAAAUAAAUCAAUAAUAAAAGAUAAAUACUAUAAAUAUAAGAAUAAAACCCAAAGAGUAUAUUUAACACCCCUACUGGUUAGGAAGGAACAAGCCCCGCCUUCCCCUGCUCUGUACCGUCACGUGCUCAGACACAGAGAGAGACGGAGGUGCACGAGACCAUCACUGAUUUUCACCGCCAAGCUUUUCGCUGGAAAAUAACUAUUAACUUGAUAAAUUGAGCAAAUAUCCAUACCGGAGAUCUGCAUGGACCUUGGAGAAACGGACCUGAUUUAUUGUGAACAUUUCGGACCUUGAAACCAUCGCGAUCUGCGCGGGAGCGGAUGAAGUGGACAAGAUCCUCUCUGAGAGUUGAACAAGAUCCUCUCUGAGAGUUGAACAAGAUCCUCUCUGAGAGUUGAACAAGAUCCUCUCUGAGAGUUGAACAUUAGAAGUGUGCUGGCUAGGUUUUUUUAUGGGAUCGUGAGACCUGGAUCUCUUCCUGACGAGGAAGAUGGCGAG
Molecule: non-coding RNA, 586 nt
Organism: Maylandia zebra (zebra mbuna)
Lineage: Eukaryota; Metazoa; Chordata; Actinopteri; Cichliformes; Cichlidae
Source: RefSeq, a predicted model, not a curated record